GUCAAAUCACCUUGUGUGGAUCUUAUUCAGGUUUUCUGGCAGUGAACAACAUGGUGCGCUCUGUCCUCUGCCUCCUGACUGUGGCCCUGGCCUUUGUGCCUCUGCUCUCUGCUGUGGAAGUGGAUUCAGAGAAACCUGGAGUCUGUCCCAAGCCCAGGACAGACAUUCACGUA
Periophthalmus magnuspinnatus is the source of this 173-nucleotide long non-coding RNA. RefSeq lists it as uncharacterized. The transcript is spliced from 3 exons. Lineage: Eukaryota; Metazoa; Chordata; Actinopteri; Gobiiformes; Gobiidae. The record is from RefSeq and is a predicted model, not a curated record.